This is a long non-coding RNA of Hippocampus comes (tiger tail seahorse), 310 nucleotides long. RefSeq lists it as uncharacterized. The transcript is spliced from 2 exons. NCBI's taxonomy places the organism in Eukaryota, Metazoa, Chordata, Actinopteri, Syngnathiformes, Syngnathidae. The record is from RefSeq and is a predicted model, not a curated record.
GUAUGACAGUGAUGUAUCUGCACUGAAUGCAUAAAAGUGCGACCCUGCCUCCGUGUCAGCUCUCUACUAAGGUAGGCAGUGAUUUGCUUUCCACAAACCCACAAACUUUUGUGUCCACUUUAUUUGUCUGUUUCGUUCAUCUUAGGGGUGAAGGCGGAAUUUCCACCACACUAUUUGACCAAGAGUCAAAUACCUUGCCAGACUUCCGGGGUGCUCGUUGAUGGGCUCAGGAAUGACCAGAUGCACACGUCUUUUGAGUCAGUAACACAGAAAAGUAUUUAAUCCCGAACAAAUAGUCUAAUACAGCAUA